This 267-nucleotide ribosomal RNA is filed under the name uncultured bacterium. Its description in RNAcentral is "partial 16S ribosomal RNA". It matches the Rfam family "Bacterial small subunit ribosomal RNA", at positions 793 to 1055 of the family's 1533-position model. The record is from RNAcentral.
GUCCUAGCAGUAAACGGUGCACGUUUGGUGUGGGCGCAUUCGACCGCGUCCGCGCCGGAGCUAACGCGUUAAACGUGCCGCCUGGGAAGUACGGUCGCAAGAUUAAAACUCAAAGAAAUUGACGGGGACCCGCACAAGCGGUGGAGUAUGUGGCUUAAUUCGAUGCAACGCGAAGAACCUUACCUGGUCUUGACAUGCACUGUGUCUCCGGUGAAAGCCGGAUAGUGUAGCAAUACACGCUUUGCACAGGUGCUGCAUGGCUGUCGU